RNAcentral lists this long non-coding RNA (2137 nucleotides) under Limulus polyphemus (Atlantic horseshoe crab). RNAcentral's name for it is "uncharacterized LOC111086319". Lineage: Eukaryota; Metazoa; Arthropoda; Merostomata; Xiphosura; Limulidae. The record is from RNAcentral.
UACAGUCUAGCGUGAAAUCUACAUCGUGUAACAUUGAAACAAACUUAUUCAUCAACCAAUAAACAUUCAGGUUUCAAAUCCAGUUACUGUUUUGCAAACAUUCAAAUUCAUUCAAGAACUCUCACUUUGGCUAUUUCUCUGCACUUUGUUGGAAGAUGUAGACGAAUUGAUACCAAGCAAAUACAUUCUACUUGAAGCAUAAUUCUUGCUACUGAUGUUUUACCUAUAAAAAUGGAAGCUAAAAGGGAACUUGAGGUGAAGUUCCAUGAAUUCAGAAAGAAAAAGAUUCUCAAUGAGGAGGAGAUGCAGUUUUUACUACAAAAGUGGCAGUUUGUCAAAGGAAUCAACAGUUGAGGAAGCUGAUGUUUCAGUUGCUGUACCCCUGACAGAAUAAGUGUACAAAACAAGAUAGCCUCAGACAGAACCAGCUUUUCUUGAUUCUGUCUUAUGGACAAAUUAAAAGGUACCUGAUGAUGACAAAACCUCGUUGAAACGUUGUACAUUUGCUGUUAUGUUAAACUUAUAUUAAAGUUUUUCUUCAUUACCCAUUCAAGCCAUCUCCAGCCAUUAUGACUCUAACUAUGAUAUACUUUUUAAGGUUAGAUUUAUCAUAGACCAUCUGUUAAACUCUUUUGUUUCCCACUACUCUCCUAACAGAGAACUAACUACAGAUAAACAGAUGCUGGGCACAAAAUAUAGAAUUGGUUUCUUUCAAUAUUUACCAAAUAAACCUGUCAAGUGGGGAAUCAAUGUGUGGGUCCUGGCAGAAGCUAUGAGUGGAUACUGUCUGAAGUUUAAAAUCUACACAGGCAAAGAGGGACAAAUGCCAGCUAAAGGUUUAGCAUACAGUGUUGUGAUGGAACUGAUGGACAAGUACAACAGACUAGGAUACUGGGUUUUCAUGGACAACUUUAACAUUUUCCCUUGUUUAUUAGACAAACUAUUGACUAUAGGAACCUAUGCUUGUGGGAAAGACAGACUGUAUUUCCCACAGCAACUUGUUUCUACAAACCUACAGAGAGGGGAAGCAGAUUUUGUUUAUGUGGAACUCUGACAGCUGUGAAGUGGACUGACAUACGAGACAUUUAUGCACUUUCUACUUUACACUGUAAUACUAUGACGAGAAGAGGGAGGGAUGCUGAGGUUACAAAACCUCAGUUAAUUGUGGACUACAACAAGUUUAUGGGAGGGGUGGACCUGAAUGACCAACACUUAAGUUACUAUUCUAUUGGACAAAGAACAAUAAAAUUUUAUAAAAUUUGUUUAUUUUUUUAACUUUUGGACUUGACAUUUAUAAAUGCUUAUAUUUUGUACAAAUGACAAACCAAUCAGCUGGCAUUAUCUCAGAAGGCCUUCAAAAUGGACCUGGUCACAACUCUUAUUGAGCCUCUACUUCAAAGCAGACCAGGUCCUUCUGGUAUACCACUAUCAAGAACUGCACAGGACUCAUCACCUCUGAGAUUCACUCUUGGCAGGCAUUAACCAACAACUGUUGAUAGAAGUCACAGGAAGAGAUGCAAACUGUGCCUCCCAGAAAAUAUAAUAACAAUCCAAUGUAAACUGUGUAAUGAAUAUCUCUGUAUUAAAUAUUUUGAAGAGUAACAUAUUAAUGUUACUCUUCAAAGAUGUUAAUUCUUUAUCUAUGCCUGCUCUCUUCCUUUGUUUAAUUUUUUUUCUCUAAAUAUUUUAACGUUUGUAUUUCAAAGUACAACAGUGGUUACUUUUUUACUUUAAAUUUUGACUGAAAUAUUUUGUAAAGUUUUCUUUUGUUAUUGAUACAGUAGUGAUGCUCCCUUUCAUGUGUCAAAAUCAGUUUACAAUGUCUAAAAUGUUUGUAGUAAAAUACCAAUGUAAACUUGUAUUCAUUGAUACAGUCUUUCCUGUGCACAACAUUAGGUAUGUUUUCAUUCCAUUGUUGAUCCUUUCAUUCUGGUUGUUCCUUCUAUCAUGUGUCAACAUUUGUAUACAUUUUGGUAUGUUAGAAUGUGUAUAACUUGAUAUUAAUUCAUGCAAUUUGUAUGUGCAUUAUUCAUCUUAAAGAUGUAUAUCAUUUGUACAUAACUUUAUUCUGCAGACGUGUAGUGUUGUAUCUUUCUAAACUGUUAUGAAUAAAGCUUUUUGUAGGUUUUCUAGCUUC